This 497-nucleotide ribosomal RNA is filed under the name uncultured bacterium. RNAcentral describes it as "partial 16S ribosomal RNA". It matches the Rfam family "Bacterial small subunit ribosomal RNA", at positions 28 to 507 of the family's 1533-position model. The record is from RNAcentral.
GAUGAACGCUGGCGGCGUGCCUAAUACAUGCAAGUCGAGCGAACGGACGAGAAGCUCGCUUCUCUGAUGUUAGCGGCGGACGGGUGAGUAACACGUGGAUAACCUACCUAUAAGACUGGGAUAACUUCGGGAAACCGUAGCUAAUACCGGAUAAUAUUUUGACCCGCAUGGUUCAAAAGUGAAAGACGGUCUUGCUGUCACUUAUAGAUGGAUCCGCGCUGCAUUAGCUAGUUGGUAAGGUAACGGCUUACCAAGGCAACGAUGCAUAGCCGACCUGAGAGGGUGGUCGGCCACACUGGAACUGAGACACGGUCCAGACUCCUACGGGAGGCAGCAGUAGGGAAUCUUCCGCAAUGGGCGAAAGCCUGACGGAGCAACGCCGCGUGGGUGAUGAAGGUCUUCGGAUCGUAAAACUCUGUUAUUAGGGAAGAACAUAUGUGUAAGUAACUGUGCACAUCUUGACGGUACCUAAUCAGAAAGCCACGGCUAACUACGUG